This 254-nucleotide ribosomal RNA is filed under the name uncultured bacterium. Its description in RNAcentral is "partial 16S ribosomal RNA". It matches the Rfam family "Bacterial small subunit ribosomal RNA", at positions 524 to 776 of the family's 1533-position model. The record is from RNAcentral.
UACGUAGGGUGCAAGCGUUGUCCGGAAUUAUUGGGCGUAAAGAGCUCGUAGGCGGUGUGUCACGUCGGCCGUGAAAACCUGCAGCUUAACUGUGGGCGUGCGGUCGAUACGGACAUCACUGGAGUUCGGCAGGGGAGACUGGAAUUCCUGGUGUAGCGGUGAAAUGCGCAGAUAUCAGGAGGAACACCGGUGGCGAAGGCGGGUCUCUGGGCCGUAACUGACGCUGAGGAGCGAAAGCGUGGGGAGCGAACAGG